AGACAUUAAUCUUAAGUAUCCAGGGAGCCCUAAAACAUUGUAUCCCACUAGCAAGGACCAUGGUAAUUGCCACGUAAAUCCCCUCCAUUAUGUGGCCCUUAUUAUGACCAGCCAGCCAAGGCUUGCCUUUAAAUCAUACCAAUUGAACCGAGCCUUGUAGAAACACUAUCACCUACGCAUACCUCUGCUUCUUUUCAUUAACCUGCUAUCCUCUUUACAAAUGGGAUUCUUCACCCACUCCCUUCUUCUAGAUUAGCAAUGCCCUGUUAAGUAAACGAACACGAAAUUCAAAGGGAAACAGGAGCAAUCAUCAUUACCAGCUGCCGUGUUAAGCAUUGCGAAAACGCUCACGAUUCACAGAAAAAUCCAUGCUGUUCUUUGAAGGCAUUCAAGCCUUAAUAGCUAGCUGGAUGAAUGUUUAACUUCUAGGCCAGGCACUACUCUGUCCCAACAAUAAGCCCUGUACAUUGGGAAAGGUGCCGAGACAUGAACUUUGGUCUUCUCUGCAAUCCAUCUGGAGCAUUCACUGACAACAUCGACUUUGAAGUUGCACUGACCUGGCCAGCCCUGCCACUUACCAGGUUGGGCUGUGGCUUGCCUUUUCACUUCUUGUGUCCUGUUUAAGAAAUAUCUGCUAUCCCAAGCAUCUGGCAUCUUUCUUGACAUAUGUAGCAGUUGCUUUUUGACAGCUUGCUUCUUCAGUGAAUGAAUAAAUUAAUAAAGAGAAAUGUGAUGUUCAGUGAUCCAUUUUGCAGAUAACACUAACAAAGUUGACCUUAGAAUUGGAGUGCCUGGGUUAGAACCCUGCUGGUACCACCUGCUUACUGCAUGCUUCUGAUGUGAGUUCAGGAGAAGACACUGGCAAGGACAGCAAAGAACAGGAGAACACUCUAGCUUCCCUGAUAGCAUUCAAGGUGCUGUCCAAACUGACUGUGAUGGCACCCUCCAGACAGACAGCGAUGCCACAUGUUCAAGAUGGCAGAAUCACUAUCAGCUUCAAUUCCUGAAUGACUGCAGAGCAAAAUUUCUUACCUGCAACAUACACUCUAUUUUCAGCCUCCCUGGACUGUUACAUAAUGAUACAUAAAAAUAUUUCUUGUGUUGAGGCAUCCCAAAUUUGAUUUAUUUGUCAUCACAGUCUAUCCUAUGAAUAUAUUUCUGAUCCAAAUAAUGCUAGAUUCAUGAGAGUUUAUAGUCCAGAGAUUUUUUUUUUUUUUUUGAGACAGAAUCUGUCUCCCAGGCUGGGGUGCAGUGGCAUAAUCUUAGCUCACUGCAACCUCUGCCUCCCGGGCUCAAGUGAUCCUCCCUCCUUAGCCUCCAUGAGUAGCUGGGACCACAGGUGUGCACCACCACACCCCGCUAAUUAUUUUGUAUUUUUUGCAGAGGGGGGUUUCACCACAUUGCCCAAGCUGGUCUCAAACUCCUAGACUUAAGGGAUCUGCCUGCCUUGGCCUCCCAAAAUGCUGAAAUUACACUUGUUAGCCAUAGUAAUAGUUCCUAGCCAUAGUCCGGAGAUAUUUUAAAAACUUUAGUGUGAGUUAUUUCUCUUUGCUAUAAUUCUCUCAUGCAUUUUGAAAACCUUUUCUGCCAUACAGUGGUUUUUGGGAAGUCCUUUUGGACAGACAUAUCACAGGAUGGAGAAACUAAAAAGAGAGAAUGCAUUAAAGAAAAAAUAGUACUUCGUAUUUCAGAAAUUACAAAAGGGUGUCAUGCCCCACAGCAUGGUGGGCAGUCAUUUGUAACCCACAGAACAUUGAGUUUCUAAAAUUUGAGUGUUUUUAACUUACGAAGGCCAACUUUACUGAUGAAGUGAUUACCCCAAAUAUGUGAAAUCCAUAUUUCAAGUACAAUAGUAGGAAAUUGGAAAUGGGCUCUUGAGUUUCUGCUUUCAAGUGACCCUCAGAAAUUCCUCCAUUCACUGCAGAGGUUCUGUUUCUCCUUGCUUUGUUCUGACUUUACGGCAGAACUAAGCUAAUGAGUUAGUUACUAUGGGUUAUCACUUGGAUUUGAAGAACCAUCAUUUCUAGGCAUUGCUGCUCAGAGUGGGUCUGCCCUCAGGGGAAGCUGUCUAACCAGAGCCUAACCCACUAGGGUUUUAUCAGAACCUAACUGACCUGAGGAAAAGAAAUACUCAACUCCAGCAAGCUCCAGCCUUCCAAAUGGAGGAGGAGAAAACCCAACUCCAGCCCACUUCAGCUAUCUUGUCCCACAUAAAGGGGAAGUGGAAGAAACCUGAGAAGCAGGCAUGAAGUUCACAGUCCAGAGGUAUACAAGCCACGCUGAACAUCUGAAAAUCAAUUCAUGUGAUCCAUCACAUUAGCAGACUCAAGAAAAAAAACCACAUUAUCAUAUCAGUAGAUGUAGAAAAAAAAAAUUAACAAAAUCCAGCACCCAUUCACAAUGAAAAUGCCCAGUAAAUUAGAAAUAGAAGGUAACUUCCUCAAAUUGAUAAGGAAUAUCUCUAAAAACCUACAACUAAAAUCAUACUUAAUGGUAGAAAACUAGAAGCCUUCCCAGUAAGAGUAAGAACAAGUCAAAGAUGUAUGCUCUCACCAAUGCUUUUCAACAUCAUAUUGGAAGUCCUAGCUAGUGCAAUAAGCAAAAAAAAAAAAAAAGUUAUAUUAAUAAGAACAAAAACUGUGUUUGUUUGCAGAUGACAUGAUUUUCUAUGCAAAAAAUUCAAAAUAAUCAACAACAAAAAAAUCCUGAAACUAAUAAAUGAUUAUAGCAAGAUUUCAGGAUAUGAGAUUUAUAUACAAAGGUCAAUUACUUUCAUAUAUACAAGCAAUGAACAAGAGGGAUUUGAAAUUAAAAACGAAACUAUUUACAUUAGUACCCCCAAAAUGAAAUCCUUAUGUAUAAACUUAACAAAAUAUGUACAAGAUACAUAUGAGAAAAA
RNAcentral lists this long non-coding RNA (2899 nucleotides) under Homo sapiens (human). RNAcentral's name for it is "PREDICTED lncRNA (TCONS_00257708)". Lineage: Eukaryota; Metazoa; Chordata; Mammalia; Primates; Hominidae. The record is from RNAcentral.